CUCACGCUGACUUCUCUCAUCCCCCGCCCCCCUGGACGCGGUGACGCUACUGACGUUAGCCAAUCACGAGACAAGAAGGCAGUCACGCUCAUGGGAACAACCAAUGGUAACAGGGAAGGAAAGGAACCAAAGGGACCCGGCUGGAUUCUCGGAGCACCCAGAGAGCAUUUCGAAGCCUAACGUGGGCGGGGCGACAGAGAGGAGGCCGAGUGACGCGGAGGACGACGGGAAAAGGGCGCCUGCGCCGCGUUUAUGACGUAUUCGGCAGCGGCUUUAAGGCAAAAUCGCUUUGGUUAGUCUCUCUGGAAUCCAAAUCGGCUGCUGUUCUCCCUGUGGAAACACACAAACAGAACUCCGACUCCAGACAAUCACUGGGUCAGGACCUUUCCAUUGUCCUAUUAGAAUAUCCAUCCAAAGUACCUUAGGCUUAUGUACAUUUUUUGGAUACAUAUGCCUUUUUGCAGCACUAAGCCCUGAUGAAUCCAAAUUUAAAAAGUUUAGAGUAAAAAGUGUUAUUUUAAGUUUGUCUUUGGGGGAUAUAUACCCCUUUCCAAUUCCCUCUUUUUGCUUUAAUAAGUACAUUUUAAUAGUUUGAUGAGCUCUUUCAACUAUGCCUUGUUCCUGUGGAUUGUAUGGGAUUCCUGUUAUAUAAGUAAUGCCAAAUAAUGAGCAAAAUUGUUUAAAAGAGGUAGAAGUAUAACCAGGACCAUUAUCUGUUUUUAACUGUUUUGGAACGCCCACAGUGGCAAAAUUUUGUAAGCAAUGAGCUAUAAUAUCUUUAGUUUUUUUCUCUGGCAUGAAGGGAACCCAUUAAAAAUCCGGAAGAAGUAUCAACUGUAACAUGCAAAUAUUUUAAUUUUCCAAAUUCUGGCAAGUGUGUGACGUCCAUCUGCCAAAUAUGGUUAGGUAUCAGUCCUCUAGGAUUGACUCCAAGAUUAACUUGUGGUAAAAAGGUCACACAAUUUUGACAUUGUUUUAUUAUUUGUCUAGCUUGUUCCUUAGUUAUUUUAAAAUGCUUUUGUAAAGUAUUAGCAUUGACAUGGAACCUUUUAUGAAAAAUUAUAGCUUCUUCUAUUGUAGAGAAAAUAUGUAUGUCAUGUGUAGUUUUAUCUGCUAAAUCAUUGCCCAAACUAAGGGCUCCAGGCAAUCCUGUAUGUGCCCUGAUAUGUCCUAUAAAAAAUGGAUCUUUUCUGUCCCAGAUUAGACUUUGUAUAGUGGAAAACAAAGAGAAAACAGUAGAGGAAGGGGAAAUCCUACCAGCAUCUUCAAUAGCAUUAACUAUAUACUGACUAUCAGAAAAUAAAUUAAAUACAGAAUCUUUAAACAUCACAAAAGCUUGUAAUACUGCAUUAAGCUCUACAUUUUGAGCUGAUUGUUUGGGUACUAAAAAUGUAAAAGUUUGAUCAGGUGUAACUACUGCUGCUGUACCAUUAUUUGACCCAUCAGUGAAUAUAUUUGGAGCAUUCAUGAUAGGUGUUUUUCUUGUCAUUUUUGGAAAAACUACAGGAUGCGAUGACCAAAAAGACAACAAAGGAUUAGAUGGUAAGUGAUUAUCAAAUGAAACAUUAGAUUUACACAUGAUUAUUGCCCAAGUAUUUAACUCAUUAGCUAACUCAUCAAUUUGAUCCAUAGUAUAUGGAGUAAUAAUUUUAUUGGGAGAAAUUCCAAACACUCCCUUUGCUGCUUUUAUUCCUUUGAGUAUCAAUUGUCCUACAGCCUCAGGAUACCUAGUAAGAAUAGUAUUAGGAGAAUAAGAUAAAUGUAUCCAUAAUAAUGAACCUUCUUGCCAAAAUACUCCUGUAGGAAUAUUUUUUGUUGGUAGUACAAUAAAUAAUAAAGGCAAACUUAUAUCAAUUCUAUCCAAAUGCAUAUUUUCCAUAUAUGUUUCAAUGAUUUUUAAUGCCUUUCUUGCUUCAGGUGUUAACAUUUGGGGUGAAUUUGGAUCUGAUGGACCUUUUAGGAUAUCAAAUAAAGGUCCCAACUCUCCUGUUGGUAUGCCUAGAUAAGGCCUUAUCCAAUUUAUGUCUCCUAAUAACUUUUGAAAGUCGUUAAGUGAUUUGAGUUGAUCUAUUCGUAUUUGAAUUUUUGGUGGACGGACCAUGGUUGAGGAUAAUAGAACUCCUAAAUAAUUAAUUGGAAAAUUUAAUUGUACUUUAUCUAUUGCUAUCUCUACAUUGUAAUUUUUUUAAUAAAUUUGUAAGUGUGGCAUAACAUUCUAGCAAUGUGCUUUUAUCUUUAUGUGCUAAUAAUACAUCAUCCAUAUAGUAAAAUAUUUGUAGUUCAGGAUUUUGAUUUCUAAGUGGCUGGAUUGCUUUGUUAACAUAAAUUUGACACAUAGUUGGGCUGUUAGCCAUCCCUUGAGGGAGUACUUUCCAUUCAUAUCUCUGAUCAGGACCUUCAUGAUUCAGUGCAGGGAUAGUAAAUGCAAAACUUGGACUAUCCUCAGGAUGAAUUUGAAUUGAAAAAAAAAACAAUCUUUAAUAUCUAUAGCUAAAACAUGCCAGGUUUUUGGCAAAGCAGACAAUUGAGGAACCCCUGAUUGAGCAGGUCCCAUAAUAACCAUCUCAUUAUUAAUGGCUCUUAAAUCUUGCAAUAAUCUCCAUUUAUCAGAUUUCUUUUUAAUGACAAAAAUGGGAGUAUUAUAGGGAGAUAUGGAAGGUUGUAUAUGUCCCUCUGCUAAUUGUUGUUUGACCAGGUCAUUGGCUACUUGUAUAUUUUCUUUAGUCAGGGGUUACUGAGGAACCCAUACUGGUCUUUCUGAUUUCCAAGUAAUUUUUAUUGUAUCAGUGACCCUUUCUGAAAACCCCAUCCAUGUCUAUCUAUUCCUUGAUCUAUUUGAAUUGGUGCUGCUAUACCUUGUUCUUGUUCUCCUAAUCUUUUUUCUUUCCUAAAACCUUGUCUAGCCCUAAUAGUGGGCACAUUUGGAUUGAUGUUAUUUGUUAAUGUCAAACCUAAUUGAUCUAGGAUAUCUCGUCCCCAUAAAUUUAUAGGAA
Marmota monax (woodchuck) is the source of this 2993-nucleotide long non-coding RNA. RefSeq lists it as uncharacterized. The transcript has 2 exons. Lineage: Eukaryota; Metazoa; Chordata; Mammalia; Rodentia; Sciuridae. The record is from RefSeq and is a predicted model, not a curated record.